This 484-nucleotide ribosomal RNA is filed under the name uncultured bacterium. RNAcentral describes it as "partial 16S ribosomal RNA". It matches the Rfam family "Bacterial small subunit ribosomal RNA", at positions 30 to 507 of the family's 1533-position model. The record is from RNAcentral.
AUUGAACGCUGGCGGAAUGCUUUACACAUGCAAGUCGAACGGCAGCACGGGGGCAGCCCUGGUGGCGAGUGGCGAACGGGUGAGUAAUACAUCGGAACGUGCCCGGUCGUGGGGGAUAACGUAGCGAAAGUUACGCUAAUACCGCAUACGAUCUGAGGAUGAAAGCGGGGGACCUUCGGGCCUCGCGCGAUCGGAGCGGCCGAUGUCAGAUUAGGUAGUUGGUGGGGUAAAGGCCUACCAAGCCGACGAUCUGUAGCUGGUCUGAGAGGACGACCAGCCACACUGGGACUGAGACACGGCCCAGACUCCUACGGGAGGCAGCAGUGGGGAAUUUUGGACAAUGGGCGCAAGCCUGAUCCAGCCAUUCCGCGUGCAGGACGAAGGCCUUCGCGUUGUAAACUGCUUUUGUACGGAACGAAAAGGCUCUGGCUAAUACCUGGGGCUCAUGACGGUACCGUAAGAAUAAGCACCGGCUAACUACGUG